GACGAACGCUGGCGGCGCGCUUAACACAUGCAAGUCGAACGGAAAGGCCUGCUUUCCCUUGUGGAUUGCGGGUACUCGAGUGGCGAACGGGUGAGUAACACGUGAGUGAUCUGCCCCCAACUUGGGUAUAAGCCUGGGAAACUGGGUCUAAUUCCCGAUAGGACUGCAGGGUGGUGCCUGUGGUGGAAAACGAUUUUCUAGUGGUUGGGGAUGAGCUCGCGGCCUAUCAGCUUGUUGGUGGGGUAAUGGCCUACCAAGGCGGCGACGGGUAGCCGGCCUGAGAGGGUGGACGGCCACAUUGGGACUGAGUUCCGGCCCAGACUCCUACGGGAGGCAGCAGUGGGGAAUAUUGCACAAUGGGCGGAAGCCUGAUGCAGCGACGCCGCGUGGGGGAUGACGGCCUUCGGGUUGUAAACUCCUUUCGACCGCGAGGAAGCCACCUGGUUGGAAGGGUGGUGACGGUAGUGGUAGAAGAAGCACCGGCUAACUACGUG
RNAcentral lists this ribosomal RNA (494 nucleotides) under uncultured bacterium. RNAcentral's name for it is "partial 16S ribosomal RNA". It matches the Rfam family "Bacterial small subunit ribosomal RNA", at positions 28 to 507 of the family's 1533-position model. The record is from RNAcentral.